AUGAACAUCAUAAGUUGGAACUGUCGGGGGCUUAGGAACCCCGAGGCAGUUCGAGAGCUUCGCAGCGUGGUGAAGCAAGAAGGGCCCACCCUUCUCUUUGUUAUGGAGACAAAGAUAAGGGCAGCGAGGGUGGAAAACCUAAAGUUAAAUUUGGGUUUCGAUGGAUGCUUCGCAGUUGACAGUGUGGGUCUAAGCGGAGGCAUUGGUUUGUUUUGGUCAAAGGAUGUUUCAGUUCAACUAAAUAACUAUAGUACCGGCCACAUUGACACUGUGCUGCGGAAGAGGGAUCAAAGCUCUUUCGAGUGGAGAUUCACGGGUUUCUAUGGUGCGUCAAGGUCAAAGGACCAUCAUCACAGUUGGCGCUUCCUCCGAACUCUGAACACGUUACCCCAUGAUGCAUGGGUGUGCAUGGGAGACUUCAACGAGACCUUAUACGGAGAAGAACACUUUAGCCGCUCAGCACGCCCUGAGUGGCAGAUGAGAGCGUUCCGUGAGGUAGUCGAAGAGUGCGCUUUCCAGGAUCUAGGAUGGUCAGGUGUCCCGUUCACUUGGGACAACCGACAGGCGGGAGAAGCAAAUGUCAAAGCCAGAAUUGAUCGGGCCUUCGCAAAUGAGGCGUUUAGGCAGCAGUUUAGCUUCACCAAUGUUCGCCACAUCAGUGCAGCCGAAUCAGACCAUUGUUUUGUCCAUAUGGUGUUUCGGGAGCAGCAAGGGGACGCAAUGCAAAGGGGUACAUGA
Molecule: ribosomal RNA, 738 nt
Filed under: Triticum aestivum (bread wheat)
Lineage: Eukaryota; Viridiplantae; Streptophyta; Magnoliopsida; Poales; Poaceae
Description: partial small subunit ribosomal RNA
Source: RNAcentral